GACGAACGCUGGCGGCGUGCUUAACACAUGCAAGUCGUACGGUAAGGCCCUUUCGGGGGUACACGAGUGGCGAACGGGUGCGUAACACGUGAGUAACCUGCCCACAACUUUGGGAUAACGCUAGGAAACUGGUGCUAAUACUGGAUAUGUGCCCCUGCUGCAUGGUGGGGGUUGGAAAGCUCCGGCGGUUGUGGAUGGACUCGCGGCCUAUCAGCUUGUUGGUGGGGUAGUGGCCUACCAAGGCGGCGACGGGUAGCCGGCCUGAGAGGGUGACCGGCCACAUUGGGACUGAGAUACGGCCCAGACUCCUACGGGAGGCAGCAGUGGGGAAUAUUGCACAAUGGGCGCAAGCCUGAUGCAGCAACGCCGCGUGCGGGAUGACGGCCUUCGGGUUGUAAACCGCUUUCAGCAGGGACGAAGCUUUUUGUGACGGUACCUGCAGAAGAAGCACCGGCUAACUACGUG
Molecule: ribosomal RNA, 465 nt
Filed under: uncultured bacterium
Lineage: Bacteria
Description: partial 16S ribosomal RNA
Rfam family: Bacterial small subunit ribosomal RNA
Source: RNAcentral